GUUUCCGUGGUGUAGUAGUUAUCACGUUCGCCUCACACGCGAAAGGUCCCUGGUUCGAAACCGGGUGGAAACA
Non-coding RNA from Cyprinodon tularosa, 73 nucleotides. The record is from the annotation of a RefSeq genome assembly. Lineage: Eukaryota; Metazoa; Chordata; Actinopteri; Cyprinodontiformes; Cyprinodontidae.